CUUGGGGAUCUGAGAAGUCUUUUCCAAUCUGAAUGAUUCUAUGGUUCAAUUCUAAGAUUCUGUGGAUACCCCAUCCUUGCAAGUGCUCAAGACCAGUUUGGACAGGCCCUGGGCAACAUGGUCUGGUGACUGGUUGCCACCCACUGGGGUUGGAACAGGACGAUCUCUGUGCACCUUCCAACCCAAACACCUAUAAGCCACCUUUUGCAUCACAGCAAAGGUUUUGCUUCACUGAGGCUGGAUAAGAAGGGCCAGGACCGCUCCUGGCUUGGCCAUCUCAUCAGCCGGACCCAGACUGGUCCCUGUGAGAUGCAUGGCAGGAGCAUUCUUUCUCAGAGCUGAUUGCAGUUCUUCUGUGUGCAUGGGAGCAGCCUUGGAAGCAGCCUGGUUUCCUGAAAGUACAUAACUUUUAUUGAAAAAUAGGAUUUUCCCCUCCGAUUUAUUUUCCUUGUCGUGAAAGCGUCACGGUCACUUCUGUUGAGCCAAAUGAAACCCAGUUUUAGUCUGUGUCCUUAGGAGUGUUUGAAAUACCAUGGAGAAAGUCUGCAGGUUGGUUUUGAAGCCAUCCAAAGGGUAAAAGUGCUGGAUUGGUUUGUAUCUCAAACCUCUCUCACCCCACUUGUCUGCAUGGAGCUCCACAGUACCUACCUCCAAGGAGGGGAAUAUUUGACACGUGGGCCUGUUUGUGUUGAACUCAAGACUGUUUUUACUCAGUGCAGGGAAAUGUCAUUGGGCUCCUUUUGGUGUCACUUUGCUGUUCCCAAGCAGUUUCCUGGAAAGACAGCAGGAAGCCAAACGUGCAUACAUUUCUGAAGCGCUCGGGUAUUUCCAAGUGAUGCAACCUCAGAUUCCUUCCCUAGCCACCCCCCCUUCCCUUUUGCUUCAAAACCCUUUUUGGCCUCAAAGUUCAGCUUGUCUUUCUGUUGUUUUGUUUCCGAGUUCUGGAGGCAGAGCCCUACAGCAGGAGGAGGUGGGCAGCCCGCAGCCAGGUGCAGGGGGGGCUGGGGGGGAAGCUGCUCCUUUGGGGAACCCUUGCUCCGGCUUAUAGGGCCAUCUGGGACUGUGGGACCGACUGUGUGAUCCUCCCACGGUCUGGACCCAUCAGCAGACAAAGUCAUGCUCAACAUCUCUGUAAUUAAUCUGGAUCCCGGAGGUCGCGGUUCGAACACAGCCAAAUUGUCCUGGGGAAGCAACACCCUCUGGAUCUGGUGUUUCUCACAGGUACUGCAUGGGACUGGGAAGCAGCUGAGCACCGACUCAGUGCUGGGGCUCCUGGUGAUGCUCGCUGUGAGAUGGUGGCAGCACAGCUGUGAUCUCACAUGGGGAUCUGCCUUCAUACUGCCCACCUCCCCGUACAGCUCAGUCUUAGGAAGGCAAAAUGGAGUAAAAACUCAUCUGUUGGUCGGAAAAGGCUCUGCACAGUGGUUUACUCUGGUGGGACAUGGACGUGGGAUGGCAACCUCAGAGAUGGAAAGGAGAGAUUAUUUUCCUUUCCUAUUUAUAAGUCCACAAAGACUUAUAAAGAAAAAUCCUGCCUUCCUGUAUAGGACAAAGCCUUCUGAAAUAACCUGCCAGAAAUUUCCAGCAAUGCUCAGGCUUUCUGAGCCCUGUUCUGGAAGGACGAUGGUGCUGCCAGCCUUUGUGUGGGCUCAGGGGUCCCAAGUUCCAGCUCCUCGACUUGAUGUGGGACUGAUGAAUUGCUCACCCUGCCUUCAGAAACCAUCCAUGUGGGGCAGACCUGCAUGUCCUGAGGUCCUGCAGUUCCCCAUGACAGCUCUUGUUUUCAUAUCGACCAAACAAUGCAGCCAGGACCGUGAGUGUCCUGUCCUGUUUUCCCCACUGGCUCUGCCCCAUAGGUGAGCUGUGGGAGAGGAGAGGACCAGCAGCCCAGUGCCGAGGUCGGGAUGUGCAACAAGCCAAGCAGCUCUUGUUUUGCAGCUCUGUACGCGGCAGCGUGGCUAAAUGUGGAGGCAGGUUUGAAGGCACGCUCAUUUAACUCCCCAGCCAACGUCUGAUUCCAGGCAUGCCUCUUUCACAGAGUUUAGUUGCACAUUUGCAGAGCAACAGUUCUGCAAGUGGAACUCUGCAGGCAGCCUGGUGGGGCCAAUGCUGACUGCUGCUGUUGGGUGCUCAUGAGUGAGAGAACAGGAGAUGGAGUCAGGGAACGUCUGAGACCAAUAUUGGGAUGAAGUAGGAGGAGAGGGAGGUUUUAAAGUCUUGGUCAAGCUGUUUCCUGUGCUGGUUUUGGAUUUCUCUUGUAGCUUGGCUGUGUCCUGUUGCAAGGAAUACAGCUCCCAUUGACUCCAGCAGGACCAGAGCUGGACCAGAGGGGCCUUUGGUGCAAGAGAGGCUGCAAGAAAGGAUUCGGCUUUAUCUGUCGGUGAGCCUGUUCAUUCUCUCACCUGUUGAUGGGUCAAAUUUUGAAGCUGUGACUCAGUCUGAACUUUCAGUGGCUUUUGCACCUGGUGAUUUAAAUAUCUGUCUGCACGGGAGGUGAACGCCAAGCGGCAUCCCUAGCUGCAGCUCCGUACCAGGUUACCUUCCCCUUUCCCCCCUCCAGCUGUUUACUAUUUCCCUCCCACCUCCACCCUGACUCAGAAGAAUGGGACACGAAUCCUCCCACCUCACCCACUCCAGUACAAUGCUUGGCAGCUGCUGGGGAAAAAGAGUUUGGGUGAAGCUGCCAGGCUUUGCCCAGGAGCCAUGGGGGAGAGCACGAGAGCUGUUCCACCAACGCAGCUGCCGGCAGCAGGAGCCUCCGGCACGAGGGAGCAGACGAGCCAGCUGCUGGGGGUGCUGAUAACAUCUGGACCCACCCGACGAGAGCGCAUCUCCCCGUGCUGAACGUGGUGAAGGCUCACACCAGCCUCUGCUCAUCGCCUGCCCUGAAUCCCUUUGGUGAAACUCGUUGGCAUCGGAGGAACUGGGUCUGGAGGAGCUCAGCCCUGCUGGUGUCGGUGUGGGGCUCGGAGGUGCGGUGGGUGGCAGAGCUCCCCAGGAGCCCCCCAGCCCCUCCUCAGCAGGAGGCAGGCUUCCUUUCUCUGCUCUGCGCACUGUCCAAUCCCAAGGCUGUUCCUGUGGGUCAGCAUUGCCCAUGAUGGGUUUGGUCUCCAUGCCGUGGUCCAACAGCCAGCCUACUCCGAGCGUGCUGCUGCUGGAGCUGUGUCUUUUUUUCUCCAUCAUGUUCUUGAAGAAGUGGGAGCUCUGUGGAGCAGUGAUGAUGAAUGCUGUUCUGCUGGGAUCUGUCCUCUUCACUUCCUCAAACACAAGCAAAUAAGAAGUGAUUGUAAUGCUAGCUGCUGUCUCCAGAUCAAAAGCGCUAAAGCAACACUUUGAGAACUGAGAAGGGCACGGUCUGAGCCUCCCCUCAACCCCACACCUCCCAACGCUGCCGUAAAAUCUGUGCUGAAAAAGGACCAGCAAAUACCAGCCUCCUCCUCCUCCUCCUCGUCCCAUCGCUCCCUCUUUGGGCACAGCGAUUCCGGCUCCGUCCCCUCACCUGAGGGCUGUGCUGAGCGUCCCCACCUGCAGUGGCUGCUCGUCCCAUCCCGGUGCUGCCAUCCCAUCUCCUGCAGGACAGACCCUGUGCCAAGCGUAGGGCGCAGCAUCUGUCCUCAUCCAGGAGCACUGUGGAGCCGUGGCUACGGAGCCGUGCCUUUCGGUCACCAGCUGGUGCCUUUGUGUUGCCCAUACGUGUUCAGUGAUGCAGGAGGAGAUCUUUGGGAUGCUGUGGGGUUGGUCUGAUGUCGGGCAUGAGCCUCGCUGGGUUCCUCCCUCGUUAUCCAUCUCUUUAAGCAUCUGAGACCCUCAGUGCCUCAGUUUCCCCACACGUGUCUGUAACAGUGGGCACAGCUCCCUGAGCCACCCAUAGGCUCUGUGCUCCAGUCCCCAUCUCACAGGACACAGUGCUGGGCCACGAUGCCAAUCUCUGCAGUCCCAACCUCCACACACCCAGAAGGCAUUGAGGAGCACUGCGGCAUCCCCCACCUGUGUGCCUUGUCCCAGCUUGGGGUCAGUGCCAGUGGGUGCUCUGAGCCCACCCUGAGCCCCAUCCCUGUGCUGGUGGGGCAUUUCCACGUCCUUCUGGUGAACCAGCUCAUGACUCCCAUGGUUAAUGUUUGCCUUAACCCCUCUUUCCACACAUUGAUUUGUAUUUGCAUCAUGCCCUGGCCACGGUGCUCAGGAACGCAGGGUGCUUGCAGGGCUCCCCCCACGAGCAGCAGUGUCCCCCAGCCAUGGCUAAGGUCAUUCUUCAUGGGUUUCCCAGCAGCACUGGGGCCUCCAUCCUUUCUCUCCCAUUUAAUCCCAUGAAUUAAACACCGCCUUCACCGCGGAGCGCCGAGCGGUGCCGGCGUAAUGUCCAAGUUUUACGACUUGCCUUGAAGGCACCUAUCGAUUGGGGUCCUCUCUGGAUGAUGGAGCUUUUAGUGCAUCCUGGGCUGUCCGAGCAGGGCUGGAUCCUCAGCCCACGGGGCUCAGCCGCGCCGUGCCGUCACGUCCCCGUGCCCCAUCUCCAUGGGUCCCAUGGGGAGGCGGCAGGCGGGGCCCUCAGUGCCCACACGGCGCCUUUAAGAAGCCCACAACCAGCUCCAGGAACACGAGCUCAAGGUCACAGUGGGAAACCUGCGGACUUGGCAGCGAGGAGAGGAGAGGAGAGCGGGCGGAGGGGAGGAGGAGGGAGGAGGGAAGCAGCUGGGGAUAAAACCCAAAUUCUGGCGGGGAAGAGGGGACGGAGGGGAGCGGGGAGGUGAGGUGCAGGGGGGUCCCACCCAGGGGUGCCUAACUGUGGCACCUUGAGGCCCUGUGCCGCAUCCCCCGGCGCGGCACCCGGACGCCCUCUGGGAGGUUUGGGGUUACCGAAGGCACCGGGAAUGAGGCGGCUGCUCCUGGUCUGGGUUUGGAGAUGCCCGUUUUUAAUUUUCAUCAGCAGAAUUAAUCUGCGGAGCUGCUCCCCCCCCCCCCCCCCCCCCCCCUCCUCCUCCCCUCCCCUUCCUUUCCUCACUGGUUUCGACGGAGAAUUUGAUCACUUCUCCCAGGAGCUCGGCACCAUUAACAUUCACUCCUGGCGCGCACGAGCCGCGCUGCAUCGCCAAGCGCAUCGCCAGCUGUGGGCUGUGGGCUGUGGGCACCUCGACCCCCAUCAGCAGCCCCAGCCCUUGGCCUGGCACCAUCCUCACCCCCACCGAGCCGGGGAGGGGCUGCUUUAUUUCUGUGUCCGCUCCCCCGUAGAAAAAUGAAGGGCACAGCAUAGGAUCAGUGGGUGCUGCCCUUCUCCUGCUUCCAGCCAGCCUUGGGCUCGGAUCUGGAGGUGUCCGGAGGGUCGUGGCCUCAGGGUUUGCUCUGCAGCUGCUGGGACACCUGGGGCUGUCCAAUAUGAUGGAAACCAGAAAGCACUCCGGGGGUAGGAUCCAAAUCUUGCACCAUUUCACAUUUUAAGGGAUGCCAAGUGGUCACCCUGGGCUGCCCCAGAGUUGCAUAAAGUUGUGGACUUUUUUUUUCUUUAAUAAAGGUUAAUAAAGAAUUAACUCCUUAUUGCUGUUAUUAUUACUCCAUCACUGUCACUAUCACUAUUACCAUUACCAUUGCUAUUACUAUUGCCAUUGCUGCUAUUGCUGUUGUUGCUGCUAUUGCUAUAACUAUUGCUAUUUCUAUUGCUACUAUUCCCAUUUCCAUUUCUAUUCCCAUUCCUGUUCUCAUUCCUCUUCCUCUUCCCAUUCCUAUUCCUAUUCCCAUUCCCAUUCUCAUUCCUGUUCCCAUCCGUAUUCCCAUUCCCAUUCCUAUUCCAAUUCCAAUUCC
This 5796-nucleotide long non-coding RNA is filed under the name Gallus gallus (chicken). Its description in RNAcentral is "lncRNA (ENSGALG00010029102.1)". The record is from RNAcentral. Lineage: Eukaryota; Metazoa; Chordata; Aves; Galliformes; Phasianidae.